This 450-nucleotide ribosomal RNA is filed under the name uncultured bacterium. Its description in RNAcentral is "partial 16S ribosomal RNA". It matches the Rfam family "Bacterial small subunit ribosomal RNA", at positions 354 to 796 of the family's 1533-position model. The record is from RNAcentral.
GUGGGGAAUUUUGGACAAUGGGCGCAAGCCUGAUCCAGCCAUGCCGCGUGCAGGAUGAAGGCCUUCGGGUUGUAAACUGCUUUUGUACGGAACGAAAAGACUUCUUCUAAUACAGGAGGUCCAUGACGGUACCGUAAGAAUAAGCACCGGCUAACUACGUGCCAGCAGCCGCGGUAAUACGUAGGGUGCAAGCGUUAAUCGGAAUUACUGGGCGUAAAGCGUGCGCAGGCGGUUAUAUAAGACAGAUGUGAAAUCCCCGGGCUCAACCUGGGAACUGCAUUUGUGACUGUAUAGCUAGAGUACGGUAGAGGGGGAUGGAAUUCCGCGUGUAGCAGUGAAAUGCGUAGAUAUGCGGAGGAACACCGAUGGCGAAGGCAAUCCCCUGGACCUGUACUGACGCUCAUGCACGAAAGCGUGGGGAGCAAACAGGAUUAGAUACCCUUGUAGUCC